This 459-nucleotide ribosomal RNA is filed under the name uncultured bacterium. Its description in RNAcentral is "partial 16S ribosomal RNA". It matches the Rfam family "Bacterial small subunit ribosomal RNA", at positions 338 to 795 of the family's 1533-position model. The record is from RNAcentral.
CCUACGGGAGGCAGCAGUGAGGAAUAUUGGUCAAUGGGCGCGAGCCUGAACCAGCCAAGUCGCGUGAGGGAAGACGGUCCUAUGGAUUGUAAACCUCUUUUGUCGGGGAGCAAAAGACGCCACGCGUGGCGUUCCGAGAGUACCCGAAGAAAAAGCAUCGGCUAACUCCGUGCCAGCAGCCGCGGUAAUACGGAGGAUGCGAGCGUUAUCCGGAUUUAUUGGGUUUAAAGGGUGCGCAGGCGGAAGAUCAAGGCAGCGGUAAAAUUGAGAGGCUCAACCUCUUCGAGCCGUUGAAACUGGUGUUCUUGAGUGAGUGAGAAGUAGGCGGAAUGCGUGGUGUAGCGGUGAAAUGCAUAGAUAUCACGCAGAACUCCGAUUGCGAAGGCAGCAUACCGGCGCUCAACUGACGCUCAUGCACGAAAGUGUGGGUAUCGAACAGGAUUAGAUACCCGAGUAGUC